UAGGGAAUAUUGGACAAUGGGCGAAAGCCUGAUCCAGCAACGCCGCGUGUGCGAUGACGGCCUUCGGGUUGUAAAGCACUUUUAGAGGAGGUGAGAAAGGACAGUAUCCUCUGAAUAAGCCUCGGCGAACUACGUGCCAGCAGCCGCGGUAAAACGUAGGAGGCUAGCGUUAUCCGGAUUUAUUGGGCGUAAAGCGCGUGCAGGCGGUUUAUCAAGUUGGAUGUGAAAGCUCCUGGCUUAACUGGGAGAGGUCGUUCAAAACUGAUAGACUAGAGAAUGGUAGAGGGAGGUGGAAGUCCGGGUGUAGUGGUGAAAUACGUAGAUAUCCGGAGGAACACCAGUGGCGAAAGCGGCCUCCUGGGCCAUUUCUGACGCUAAGACGCGAAAGCUAGGGUAGCAAACGG
RNAcentral lists this ribosomal RNA (404 nucleotides) under uncultured bacterium. RNAcentral's name for it is "bacterial SSU rRNA". It matches the Rfam family "Bacterial small subunit ribosomal RNA", at positions 355 to 775 of the family's 1533-position model. The record is from RNAcentral.